RNAcentral lists this ribosomal RNA (617 nucleotides) under uncultured bacterium. RNAcentral describes it as "bacterial SSU rRNA". It matches the Rfam family "Bacterial small subunit ribosomal RNA", at positions 55 to 652 of the family's 1533-position model. The record is from RNAcentral.
AUGCAGUCGAGCGAGAAAGCCCCUUCGGGGGUUAGUAAAGCGGCGGACGGGUGAGUAACACGUGAGCGAUCUACCCAAGGGUGGGGGACAACUCAGGGAAACUUGAGCUAAUACCGCGUACAGCGCCGGCUUGGAAGCCUGGCGUGAAAGCUGGCCUCUACUUGUAAGCUAGCGCCUUUGGAUGAGCUCGCGGCCUAUCAGCUUGUUGGUGGGGUAAUGGCCUACCAAGGCGAUGACGGGUAGCUGGCGUGAGAGCGCGACCAGCCACACUGGGACUGAGACACGGCCCAGACUCCUACGGGAGGCAGCAGUGGGGAAUAUUGCGCAAUGGGCGAAAGCCUGACGCAGCGACGCCGCGUGGGGGAGGAAGGCCUCAGGGUUGUAAACCCCUGUCAGGUGGGAGAAACCCGUAGUGUCUAAUAGCCAUUACGAUUGACGGUACCACCAGAGGAAGCUCCGGCUAACUCCGUGCCAGCAGCCGCGGUAAUACGGGGGGAGCAAGCGUUGUUCGGAAUUACUGGGCGUAAAGGGCGCGUAGGCGGCCAGGUCAGUCGCAUGUGAAAGGCCGGGGCUCAACCCCGAGCACUGCAUGCGAUACUGCCUGGCUCGAGAGAGGU